UACGUAGGGUGCGAGCGUUAAUCGGAAUUACUGGGCGUAAAGCGUGCGCAGGCGGUUCGUUGGGGCGGCGGGGAAAGCCCCGGGCUCAACCUGGGAAUGGCCGUUGAAACUGGCGAACUGGAGUGUGGCAGAGGGGGGUGGAAUUCCGCGUGUAGCAGUGAAAUGCGUAGAGAUGCGGAGGAACACCGAUGGCGAAGGCAGCCCCCUGGGCUAACACUGACGCUCAGGCACGAAAGCGUGGGGAGCAAACAGG
RNAcentral lists this ribosomal RNA (253 nucleotides) under uncultured bacterium. RNAcentral's name for it is "partial 16S ribosomal RNA". It matches the Rfam family "Bacterial small subunit ribosomal RNA", at positions 524 to 776 of the family's 1533-position model. The record is from RNAcentral.